CCACCCCCCACCCAGCCUGAAGAUAACCUGUGGUUUGAGGCUGCAGUUAACAGGUGACUCCCCAUCCUCGUGCUCAGCGGUAGAGGUCCCCUAGAGCAUCCUCUCUCCCUUUUCUCAUUUCUCCUCUGGAGUAUCCUAUCAGGGGUACUUUCCAGCAUCUGUUUACCGGCUUGCGUUUAUUUAUAGGUAAGGAGCUCACCAACCCCAGGGCAGCUUGUCUGGUUAGAUUCUGUCUGCCCGUUAAGACCUUGAAUUGGCAGGAUACUGAGCCAGACUUGCUUGUUUGCCUGUAACUUUUCUCUCUCUGCUGUUUCCCCCUCUAGAGUGACACAGGAUAAGUAGGCCUCCAAGAUUUGCAAAGAGCCGUCAUCAUCCCCAAGCCCUCUUGGUGCCACAGUGAGCAGCCCUUCUUCCUCCAGCUUGUUUAUGGUAGAUGUGCUUUCCCGCACCAUCGGGACAGUGCCCUCUCCUCUGCAGUGUCUUCUCGAGCCUGGGUGCCUGCAUCGUGACUCUUGAUGACGGUCCAGGGAGGAAGCUGAGGUGCCCAGGUAAAGCUGCAUCCCAAAGGGUGACUUGAAUGCGGACGGUAGUGCCAGUGAGGAAGCUGGAGGUGAGGAAUUUUUCUCCCUUCUUUAUCAAGUUUAAAAAAACUUUUGAGAGGUGCAUUUCAGGAUAGAAACGCAGAGCCAAAGAUGCUCCCUGGUAAGGGGAUCCCUGCAGUAUGGUGGCAGGCAGGGAAGGGAGGCUAAGGACGGGGUACUGCAG
Molecule: long non-coding RNA, 765 nt
Filed under: Mustela putorius furo (domestic ferret)
Lineage: Eukaryota; Metazoa; Chordata; Mammalia; Carnivora; Mustelidae
Description: lncRNA (ENSMPUG00000029163.1)
Source: RNAcentral